AGAGUUUGAUCAUGGCUCAGGACGAACGCUGGCGGCGUGCUUAACACAUGCAAGUCGAACGGAAAGGCCCUUCGGGGUACUCGAGUGGCGAACGGGUGAGUAACACGUGGGUGAUCUGCCCUGCACUUUGGGAUAAGCCUGGGAAACUGGGUCUAAUACCGAAUAGGACCACGCGCUUCAUGGUGUGUGGUGGAAAGCUUUUGCGGUGUGGGAUGGGCCCGCGGCCUAUCAGCUUGUUGGUGGGGUAAUGGCCUACCAAGGCGACGACGGGUAGCCGGCCUGAGAGGGUGACCGGCCACACUGGGACUGAGAUACGGCCCAGACUCCUACGGGAGGCAGCAGUGGGGAAUAUUGCACAAUGGGCGCAAGCCUGAUGCAGCGACGCCGCGUUAGGGAUGACGGCCUUCGGGUUGUAAACCUCUUUCAAUAGGGACGAAGCGCAAGUGACGGUACCUAUAGAAGAAGCACCGGCCAACUACGUGCCAGCAGCCGCGGUAAUACGUAGGGUGCGAGCGUUGUCCGGAAUUACUGGGCGUAAAGAGCUCGUAGGUGGUUUGUCGCGUUGUUCGUGAAAACUCACAGCUUAACUGUGGGCGUGCGGGCGAUACGGGCAGACUAGAGUACUGCAGGGGAGACUGGAAUUCCUGGUGUAGCGGUGGAAUGCGCAGAUAUCAGGAGGAACACCGGUGGCGAAGGCGGGUCUCUGGGCAGUAACUGACGCUGAGGAGCGAAAGCGUGGGGAGCGAACAGGAUUAGAUACCCUGGUAGUCCAA
Molecule: ribosomal RNA, 773 nt
Filed under: uncultured bacterium
Lineage: Bacteria
Description: bacterial SSU rRNA
Rfam family: Bacterial small subunit ribosomal RNA
Source: RNAcentral